RNAcentral lists this small nuclear RNA (128 nucleotides) under Terrapene triunguis (Three-toed box turtle). RNAcentral describes it as "Terrapene carolina triunguis (Three-toed box turtle) U2 spliceosomal RNA (ENSTMTG00000020184.1)". It matches the Rfam family "U2 spliceosomal RNA". Rfam says of the family: U2 is a small nuclear RNA (snRNA) component of the spliceosome (involved in pre-mRNA splicing). Complementary binding between U2 snRNA (in an area lying towards the 5' end but 3' to hairpin I) and the branchpoint sequence (BPS) of the intron results the bulging out of an unpaired adenosine, on the BPS, which initiates a nucleophilic attack at the intronic 5' splice site, thus starting the first of two transesterification reactions that mediate splicing. The record is from Rfam by way of RNAcentral. Lineage: Eukaryota; Metazoa; Chordata; Testudines; Emydidae.
GUAGCUUAUUUUGCACAGGACUAUACAUUGAAUGGAUUUUUGGAACAGGGAGAUGGAAUAGGAGCUUGCUCCAUCCACUCCACACAUUGACCUGGUAUUGCAGUACCUCCAGGAACAGUGCACCUCCC